GUGGGGAAUAUUGGACAAUGGGCGCAAGCCUGAUCCAGCCAUGCCGCGUGUGUGAAGAAGGUCUUCGGAUUGUAAAGCACUUUAAGUUGGGAGGAAGGGCUCUUGGCUAAUACCCAAGGGUUUUGACGUUACCAACAGAAUAAGCACCGGCUAACUUCGUGCCAGCAGCCGCGGUAAUACGAAGGGUGCGAGCGUUAAUCGGAAUUACUGGGCGUAAAGCGCGCGUAGGCGGUUUGUUAAGUUGGAGGUGAAAUCCCCGGGCUCAACCUGGGAACUGCCUCCAAAACUGGCUGACUAGAGUACGGUAGAGGGUGGUGGAAUUUCCUGUGUAGCGGUGAAAUGCGUAGAUAUAGGAAGGAACACCAGUGGCGAAGGCGACCACCUGGACUGAUACUGACGCUGAGGUGCGAAAGCGUGGGGAGCAAACAGGAUUAGAAACCCUAGUAGUCC
Molecule: ribosomal RNA, 450 nt
Filed under: uncultured bacterium
Lineage: Bacteria
Description: bacterial SSU rRNA
Rfam family: Bacterial small subunit ribosomal RNA
Source: RNAcentral